GUCAGGUGGCGCAAUGGGUCCGUGCACCUGGCUGUUAUCCAGGAGUUGGCGGUUCGAGCCCACCCAGGGACA
Molecule: non-coding RNA, 72 nt
Organism: Podarcis lilfordi (Lilford's wall lizard)
Lineage: Eukaryota; Metazoa; Chordata; Lepidosauria; Squamata; Lacertidae
Source: the annotation of a GenBank genome assembly